UGAAGGUUGUGGUGGGGGUUUGAUGUCGCUUCUCUCUUUAUAUAGGACUCUACUAUUAAGCGGUCGUGAAAAAGGUUUCUACCUGCUUUUAUAGUGUUACAUCCGCCGUUUCCCGACAUAAAUUUUCGCAAGAUUAGUUACCGAAUGAGGCUGGAAACAUAAAACUUUUGACUAAGACUGUAUCCAUGGAAACAGGAUAAGAAGUGUCUCCCUCCUCGAUACCAGCGCCGCGCCCGGUAGCAUAGGACACAUAGAGCCGCGUGGGAUGGCGACGCUACGCCUCCGCACGCCGACGCCAGGCACUUCUUCGUCCGACUCGAACACGUGAACACGCGUCGCGCCGCGCUCUCCGUAGCGAACCACGUGGCGCGCUGUAGAAGUUGUAGACCGUAAAAGUGAGCGCGUCGCCGAGCGUGUGGCAGUUACUAGUGCGCGGCAGUUACUAUAGCGACGCUGUGUUUGAAACUUCCCCUUUUUGACCGUUUGGGAUUCUUAUAUCUGUGCCUAUUGUAUGUGUAUCCUACCUAAGACUCUUCCUUAACCUGUGUUAGUAUACAACGAUUAUUUUUCUUUGUGUGUGACCUUACCGCAACCUAAGUCUUUUAGAACCAGUUUUCAGUCGGCAUUUGCUAUUCGAGGAGUAAAGAUCGAGUAAAAUAGAUAGAAAAUCAUCGAGAAAAAGUUCUAGACGUCAAGGAGCAUCUGCACGAAAAAGAUCGUUUCGAGGAAAUUAACAUACUGCCGAAAAAGACACCGAUUUUGUUAGUACUUCAGCCAAGAAACUAAAACAGGUGUGACAAUCGGUCCGCAAGCUAUAAAUUUCAUGGAGACACACGACGAAGCGCGCAUAACAAAGGCGGAGCGCUGUAGCACUGCGGCUUCAAAAGAGGCCAGAGCAGCUUUGAGAGCGGCUAGGGCAGAAGAAAACGAUGCCUUUAAGGAAGCUGAAGGCCUAUUGUAUGGAGCAGGCAUAGCCGAUUAGUAUGACAGUGUGAGCUGAAAUCACUUGCACCGCUGACAAUGCUUUCUUUUAAGGCACCAUCUUUGACUUCAGAAAGCAUACACAAAAUAUUAAUAAAUUAUGACCAAAAAAUUUUUUUUAUAAGCUGCAAGUAAUAACAUAUAAAAAGAUUAAAAAAA
Molecule: long non-coding RNA, 1140 nt
Organism: Solenopsis invicta (red fire ant)
Lineage: Eukaryota; Metazoa; Arthropoda; Insecta; Hymenoptera; Formicidae
Exons: 4
Source: RefSeq, a predicted model, not a curated record